RNAcentral lists this ribosomal RNA (460 nucleotides) under uncultured bacterium. RNAcentral's name for it is "partial 16S ribosomal RNA". It matches the Rfam family "Bacterial small subunit ribosomal RNA", at positions 338 to 795 of the family's 1533-position model. The record is from RNAcentral.
CCUACGGGUGGCUGCAGUGAGGAAUAUUGGUCAAUGGACGAGAGUCUGAACCAGCCAAGUAGCGUGAAGGAUGACUGCCCUAUGGGUUGUAAACUUCUUUUAUAUGGGAAUAAAACGUUCCACGUGUGGGAUUUUGUAUGUACCAUAUGAAUAAGGAUCGGCUAACUCCGUGCCAGCAGCCGCGGUAAUACGGAGGAUCCGAGCGUUAUCCGGAUUUAUUGGGUUUAAAGGGAGCGUAGGUGGAUUGUUAAGUCAGUUGUGAAAGUUUGCGGAUCAACCGUAAAAUUGCAGUUGAAACUGGCAGUCUUGAGUACAGUAGAGGUAGGUGGAAUUCGUGGUGUAGCGGUGAAAUGCGUAGAUAUCAAGAAGAACACUGAUUGCGAAGGCAGUUCACUAGACUGCAACUGACACUGAGGCUCGAAAGUGUGGGUAUCAAACAGGAUUAGAUACCCUUGUAGUC